CCUACGGGUGGCAGCAGUGAGGAAUAUUGGUCAAUGGACGAGAGUCUGAACCAGCCAAGUAGCGUGAAGGAUGACUGCCCUAUGGGUUGUAAACUUCUUUUAUAUGGGAAUAAAAUGUUCCACGUGUGGGAUUUUGUAUGUACCAUAUGAAUAAGGAUCGGCUAACUCCGUGCCAGCAGCCGCGGUAAUACGGAGGAUCCGAGCGUUAUCCGGAUUUAUUGGGUUUAAAGGGAGCGUAGGUGGAUUGUUAAGUCAGUUGUGAAAGUUUGUGGCUCAACCGUAAAAUUGCAGUUGAAACUGGCAGUCUUGAGUAUGGUAGAGGUAGGUGGAAUUCGUGGGGGAGGGGUGAAAUGCUGAGAGA
This 361-nucleotide ribosomal RNA is filed under the name uncultured bacterium. Its description in RNAcentral is "partial 16S ribosomal RNA". It matches the Rfam family "Bacterial small subunit ribosomal RNA", at positions 338 to 696 of the family's 1533-position model. The record is from RNAcentral.